RNAcentral lists this ribosomal RNA (491 nucleotides) under uncultured bacterium. RNAcentral's name for it is "partial 16S ribosomal RNA". It matches the Rfam family "Bacterial small subunit ribosomal RNA", at positions 29 to 507 of the family's 1533-position model. The record is from RNAcentral.
AGUGAACGCUGGCGGUAGGCCUAACACAUGCAAGUCGAACGGCAGCACAGUAAGAGCUUGCUCUUACGGGUGGCGAGUGGCGGACGGGUGAGGAAUACAUCGGAAUCUACUUUUUCGUGGGGGAUAACGUAGGGAAACUUACGCUAAUACCGCAUACGACCUACGGGUGAAAGCAGGGGAUCUUCGGACCUUGCGCGAUUGAAUGAGCCGAUGUCGGAUUAGCUAGUUGGCGGGGUAAAGGCCCACCAAGGCGACGAUCCGUAGCUGGUCUGAGAGGAUGAUACGCCCCCGUGGAAGUGAGACACGUCCCAGCCCCCUAGGGGAGGCAGAGGGGGGGAAUUUUGGAAAAAGGGCGGAAGCCUGACCCAGCCAACCCGGGGGGGUGAAGAAGGCCUUCGGGUUGUAAACCCCUUUUUUUGGGAAAAAAAACCAGCAGGUUAAACCCCCGUUGUUUGAAGGGAACCAAAAAAAAAAGCACGGCCAACUUCGGG